AUCUACGGCCAUAUCACGUUGAAUUCACCGGUUCUCGUCCGAUCACCGAAGUUAAGCAACGUCGAGCCCGGUUAGUACUUGGAUGGGUGACCGCCUGGGAAUACCGGGUGCUGUAGGCU
Molecule: ribosomal RNA, 119 nt
Filed under: Helobdella robusta
Lineage: Eukaryota; Metazoa; Annelida; Clitellata; Rhynchobdellida; Glossiphoniidae
Source: RNAcentral